RNAcentral lists this ribosomal RNA (468 nucleotides) under uncultured bacterium. RNAcentral's name for it is "partial 16S ribosomal RNA". It matches the Rfam family "Bacterial small subunit ribosomal RNA", at positions 28 to 507 of the family's 1533-position model. The record is from RNAcentral.
GACGAACGCUGGCGGCGUGCUUAACACAUGCAAGUCGAACGGAAAGGCCCUGCUUUUGUGGGGUGCUCGAGUGGCGAACGGGUGAGUAACACGUGAGUAACCUGCCCUUGACUUUGGGAUAACUUCAGGAAACUGGGGCUAAUACCGGAUAGGAGCUCCUGCUGCAUGGUGGGGGUUGGAAAGUGUCGGCGGUUGGGGAUGGACUCGCGGCUUAUCAGCUUGUUGGUGGGGUAGUGGCUUACCAAGGCUUUGACGGGUAGCCGGCCUGAGAGGGGGACCGGCCACAUUGGGACUGAGAGACGGCCCAGACUCCUACGGGAGGCAGCAGGGGGGAAUAUUGCACAAUGGGCGGAAGCCUGAUGCAGAGACGCCGCGUGCGGGAUGACGGCCUUCGGGUUGUAAACCGCUUUCGCCUGUGACGAAGCGUGAGUGACGGUAAUGGGUAAAGAAGCACCGGCUAACUACGUG